UUUUUUUUUUUUUUUUUUUUUUUACAUUUUAUUGAAAUACAGUUGAAUUAUAAUGUUGUGUUAAUUUUUGCUGUACAGAAAAAUAACAGUUAUACGUGUAUCUAUUUUAUUUUUCAUAUCCUUCCAUUAUGUUUUCUUUUUUUUAAUAAUUUUUAUUUUUUUCCAUUAUAGCUGGUUUACAGUGUCCUGUCAACUUUCUACUGGAUGGCAAAGUGACCCAGUCACACAUACACAUAUACAUUCUUUUUCUCACAUUAUCAUGCUCCAUCAUAAGUGACUAGAUAUAGUUCCCAGUGCUGUUCAGCAGGAUCUUAUUGCUUAUCCAUUCCAAAGGCAAUAGUUUACAUCUUAUUAACCCCAAAUUCCUAGUCCAUCCCACUCCCUCCCCUUCCUUCUUGGCAACCACAAGUGUGUUUUCUAUGUCCAUGAGUUUCUUUUCUGUGGAAAGGUUCAUCUGUGCCAUAUAUUAGAAGCCAAAUAUAGUUGCUAUCAUAUGGUAUUUGUCUUUCUCUUUCUGACUAACUUCAUUUAGUAUGUGAGUCUGUAAUUCCAUCCAUGUUGGAGCAAAUGGCAUUAUUUUCUUUUGUGUGUAUCUUUUUGCCUUUUCUAGGGCAGCUCCUGUGGCAUAUGGAGGUUCUCAGGCUAGGAGUCUAAUCAGAGUUGUAGCCACUGGCCUACAACAGAGCCACAGCAACACCUGAUCCGAGCCAUGUCUGCAACCCACACCACAGCUCACAGCAACACCGGAUCCUUAACCCACUGAGCAAGGCUAGGGAUCAAACCCUCAACCUCAUGGUUCCUAGUUGCAUUUGUUAACCACUGAGCCAUGAUGGGAACUCCAGCAUUAUUUUCUUCUUUUUUAUGGCUGAGUAGUAUUCCAUUGUGUAUAUAUACCACAUCUUCUUAAUCCAUUCAUCUGUUGAUGGACAUUUGUUUCCAUGUCUUGGCUGUUGUGAAUAGCACUGCAAUGAACACAUGGGUGCAUGUGUCUUUUCCAAGGAAAGUUUUAUUUGGAUAUAUGCCCAGGGGGUCAUAUUGUGGUUUCUAUAUUUAGUUUUCUAAGGUACCUCCAUGCUGUUUCCCAUGGUGGUUGUACCAAUUUACAUUCCCACCAACAGUGCAGGAGGGUUUCCUUUUCUCCACACCCUCUCCAGCAUUUGUUAUUUAUGGACUUAUUAAUGAUGGCCAUUCUGACUGGUGUGAGGUGGUACCUCAUAGUAGUUUAUUUAUUUAUUUUUAUUACUUAGAUGAAUUUAUCACAUCUGUGGUUGUAUAAUGAUCAUAACAAUCCAAUUUCACAGGAUUUCCAUCCCACAACCCAAGCACAACCCUCACCCCCCAAACUGUCUCCUCCGGAGACCACAAGUUUUUCAAUGUCUAUGAGUCAGCAUCUGUUCUACAAAGAAGUUCCGUCUGUCCUUUUUUCAGAUUCCACAUGUCAGUGAAAGCAUUUGAUGUUGGUGUCUCAUUGUAUGGCUGACUUCACUUAGCAUGAUAAUUUGGUUUUGAUUUGCAUUUCUCUAAUGAUGAGUGAUGUUGAACAUCUUUUCAGGUGUUUCUCGGCCAUCUGUAUGUCUUCUUUGGAGAACUGUCUGUUUAGAUCUUCUGCCCAUUUUUUGAUGGGGUUGUUUGUUUUUUGGGUAUGCAGCUGCAGAAGUUGUUUAUAAAUUUUGGAGAUUAAUCCCUUGUCAUUUGAUUCACUUGCAAAGAUUUUCUACCAUUCUGUGGGUUGUCUUUUGUUUUGUUUAGGGUUUCCUUUGCUGUGCAGAAACUUUUAAGUUUGAUUAAGUCCCAUUUGUUUAUUUUUGUUUUUAUUGUCAAUACUCUAAGAGGUGGAUCUGAGAAGAUGUUGCUGUUGUUUAUAUCAGAGAGUGUUUGGCCUAUGUUUUCCUCUAGGAGUUUUAUAGUGUCUGGUCUUAUAUCUAGGUCUUUAAUCUAUUUUGAAUUUAUUUUUGUGUAUGGUGUUAGGGAGUGUUCUAAUUUCAUUCUUUUCCAUGUGGCUGUCCAGUUUUCCCAGCACCACUUAUUGAACAAGCUGUCCUUUCUCCAUUGCAUAUUCUUGCCUCAUUUGUCAUAGAUUAGUUGGCUGUAUGUGUGUGGGUUGAAUUCUGGGCUUUCUAUCCCGUUCCACUGAUCUAUGUCUGUCUUUGUGCCAGUACCAUACGGUUUUGAUGAUUGUUGCUUUGUAGUAUAGUCUGAUGUCAGGGAGCCUGAUUCCUCCAGCUCCGUUUUUCUUUUUCAGGGUGUCUUUGGCUAUUCUGGAUCUUUUGUGCUUCCAAACAAACUUGAAAAUAUUUCGUUCAACUUCUGUGAAUAAUGUCCUUAGUAAUUUGAUAGGGAUUGAAUUGAAUCUGUAGACUGCCUUAGGUAGUAUAGUCAUUUUGAUAAUAUUAACUCUUCCAAUCCAUGAGCAUGGUAUAGCUUUCCAUCUAUUUGUGUCAUCUUUGAUUUCUUUCAUUGGAGUCUUAUAGUUUUCAGAGUACAGUUCUUUUGUCUCUUUAGGUAGGUUUACUCCCAGGUAUUUUAUUCUUUUGGAUGUGAUUGUAAAUGGGAUUUCUUCUCUAAUUUCUCUUUCUGCUCUUUCAUUGUUAACCUCAUAGUAGUUUUUGUUUGUUUGUUUUUUGAUUUUGUUUGUUUGUUUUUUGGUCUUUUUGCCAUUUCUUGGGCCAAUCCCAUGGCAUAUGGAGAUUCCCAGGCUAGAGGUCAAAUCGGAGUUGUAGCCACCAGCCUACAACAGAGCCACAGCAACGCGGGAUCCGAGCCACGUUUGCAACCUACACCACAGCUCACAGCAAUGCCAGAUCCUUAACCCACUGAGCAAGGCCAGGGAUCAAACCUGCAACCUCAUGGUUCCUAGUUGGAUUCGUUAACCACUGAGCCACCAUGGGAACUCCAACCUCAUAGUAGUUUUGAUUUGCAUUUCUCUAAUAAUCAGUGAUGGUGAGCAUUUUUUUCAUGUGCUUGUUGGCCAUCUGUAUAUCUUCUUUGGAGAAAUGUCUAUUCAGGUCUUUUGCCCAUGUUUCAAUUGAGUUGUUGGCUUUUUUGUUGUGGAGUUGUAUAAACUGUUUAUAUAUUUUAGAUAUUAAACCCUUGUCUCCAUUAUGUUUUAUUACAGACUACUGACUAUAGUUCCCUGUGCUAUAGAGUAUAACAUUGCUAUAGUGUAUGUCUAUCAGACGUGGGCAGCUUGGGGGAUUACUGCCUCAGUCCUGGAAGGAACAGGUUUUUCAGGCAGCAUCAAUUCAAUAUGGUUCUGAGCUUUAAUUUCUGCUCUUACAUGUCUUGGCACCACUAUAUGUAAUUUUUUAUAUCAGCAUAAAAUAUAUAUUUUUUUCUCUUUAGGGUCACAUCUGUAGCACAUGGAAGUUCCCAGGCUAGGGGCUGAACAGGAGCUGCAGCUGCCAUCCUACACCACAGCUCACAGCAACACCAGAUCCUUAACCCAAUAAACAAGGCCAGAGAUUGAACCUGCCUCCUCAUGGAAACUAGUUGGGUUCAUUUCUACCAAGCCACAGUGGGAACUCUUGAAAAAAUUCUUAAAUCUCAAAUGUGAUUUUAUAAAAAUUAGUAUUUGAAAAUUCCUCAGAAUACUACUUUACUCUUUUUCUAGGGCCGCUGCAACAAAUUACCACAAAGUUGGUAUUUUUUUCCCCUCUCUUUUUUUGUGGCCACACCCACAGCACAUGGAAGUUCCUGGGCCAGGUAUAAAAUGUGUUCCAUGGUUUAGGCUUGCUGCAUCAUAGCUUCAGUGCUGAUCCUUAACCCGCUGUGCCACAUGGGAACUUUCAUAAAAUAAUAGAAAUUUUCUCUCAUGGUUUUGGAGGCCAGAAAUACAAAAUGAAGGUGUCAGCAGGGCCAGGAUCCCUUUCAGUCUCUGUCUUUACAUCAUCUUCUCCAUGUAUCCUUGUAUGUCCUUUUCUGCCUCAUAAGGACAUUCUCAUUGUAAUUAGGGUCUGCCCUAACCAAGUAUAGCCCAUCUCAAUCUUUACCUUAUUUACAUCUGCAAAGACCUUAUUUCCUAAUAAGGUCACAUUCUGCGGUUCUGGAAGACUUGAAUUUAGGGGGAACACUACUCAACCUACACUUCCCAAGGCUUUAUUAGAAACUGUUUAGAUUAUAAGACCCAUGUAACAAAAAUUUAACAGAUCUUGUUGUAUUUACCUGCUUUGAGGACAAAAAUGCUGGAUUACUUCCUAUUCUUCUUAGAUUUCCCUGCACCAGUAGAAUAGUUGUCGUGGAAACAGGAGAUUUCCUGUUUGAGUGUGGAGGAGUUCCCAUCAUUGUUCAGUGGAAAUGAAUCUGACUAGCAUCCAUGAGGAUGCAGGUUUGAUCCCUGGCUUUGCUCAGUGGGUUAAGGAUCCAGCAUUGCCAUGUGGUGUAGGUCACAGAUGCAGCUUAGAUCUGGCAUUGCUGUGGCUGUGGUGUAGGCCAGUGGCUGCUGCUCCAAUCCUACCCCAGCCUGGGAACCUCCAUAGGCCUCGGGUGAGGCCCUCGAAAAACAAAACAAUACAAAAAAAAACCCUAAGACAUCUAGAAUGUAAUUUGAACUCCUCACUGUAUAAAAAUUUAAAAAAUCCUUGAUGUCCAGAGAGGGGAAAAGACUUGUUUAAACAGUAGUAUAUUGUAUUUUUUUUUUAGGGCUGCACCUGCAGCAUAUGGAAGUUCCAAGGCUAGGGGUCCAAUCAGAGCUGCAGCUGCCAGUCUACACGACAGUCACAGCAACACUGGAUCCCAGCUGCAUCUUCAACCUACACUACAGUUCACAGCAAUGCUGGAUCUUUAACCCAUUCAGCGAGGCCAGGGGUGGAAUCCCCAUUCUCAUGGAUCUUAGUCGGGUUCUUAAUCCACUGAGCCGCAAUGGGAACUCCAACAGUAGUAUCUUUAAUCAGUAACAUAACAUUCCCCUCCCUUACAAAAAGAUGUAAUGGUGGAAACUUAAAUAUGGUGAUUGGGGCAAUCAUUUUUCGUUUUUAGCAGAAGGGCCUAGGGAAGCAGAGAGAGUGGUUUUGGUGGUGGUAGGGAAGGAGUUUCUCAGGUAAGCCACACAUUACAGGGCCCAAACCACCAUACUUCAGGACGUGGUACCCAGCAGUGCUCUCUGCAUCGACAAACGGCCUUGACUCUGGAGGACAAAGAAGCCACAUUAUUAUUUCCAGUCCUCUGUUCAGGCUGCCAAGAAAAAAGUAGCUAUGACUGAGGGAAGUCUAUUUUCUUUGAGACAGGAGUUGAUCAUUUGUUUUCUUCCUGUUCAUAGCACUAGGCAUGUUAAUUAUAGCUCUGAAUACUGCUUAACAAGAAACACAGUAAACAUGUGACUCUGAGCUCAGUUAAUGAGUAUUAUUAUCCUUUAAAAAUUCUGACUUUGGCAAUUACUCACUAAUCAAGAGGAGUGUUAGGAUGUGAGGCUCAACCCAGGGGAAAUUUAAGAGAACAGCGCAUACCUGUCUUGGAGAGCUGAAUCAGAAGCGUUUGAACUCAUCUUGAGUUCAGUUCUCACCUCUCUCUCUAGGGGCAGUUUAUAGACACAAAUUUCUCACUUCUAUCCUGAAGUGAGGGCAGAAGAACCAAGCUAACAAACCUGCACUUUCUCUUGUCUUCCUCAGUAGUCCCAGAAUUAGAAGCCCAUGUUUCUACUGUCCCAAAACUUCCAGACAUCUCAGCAUAAUAGCAUGAAAUGAGAUGUGGCUAAAGACAAGAAACAUUGAGUAAUUCUUCUUCUUCCACCCUACAAAGCUGUCUCCCAGCUCCAGCCAACUAGAAAGGAAGAAAAAGAAAAAAAAUACUUGGGUAAUAGUUUCUUACCAGACUGACCCCAAGGCUAAGCCAAGAGUUCUGACACCCUGACUUUUUCUGGGUACCUCUCUAGGAAAUGUCUGUGUGGCCUCUGGAUAGAUGAGCCCUGGACUGGCAAGCUUCAGCUUUAUUAGGAACAUUAUUAAAUUUAAUAUAAGGUAAUGGGAGUUCCCCUUGUGGCACAGCAGAAACGAAUCUGACUAGUAUCCAUGAGGGUUUAGCUUCUUCGCUCAGUGGGUUGAGGAUAUGGCGUUGCUGUGAGCUGUGCAGUGAGUCCCAGAUGCAGCUCGGAUCCCAAGUUGCUGUGGCUGUGGUGUAGGCCGGCAGCUGCAGCUCUGAUUGAACCCCCUAGCCUGGGAACGUCCAUAUGCUUCAGGUGUGGCCCU
This 6179-nucleotide long non-coding RNA is filed under the name Sus scrofa (pig). Its description in RNAcentral is "lncRNA (ENSSSCG00050073127.1)". The record is from RNAcentral. Lineage: Eukaryota; Metazoa; Chordata; Mammalia; Artiodactyla; Suidae.